UUGAGAAAGAGUGGCCAAUGUAGCGCUUCUCCCAGCCACAAACCCUUUCUUCCCCAGGGCAGUAUUUCUCAAUUACACCUUCCUGUCAUCAUCAUCUUCUUGUCUGGGCUCAUCAAGCUUUCUGCCAGGUUUCCAUGCUGCUAAGUCACUGGGAAAAUUAGACCCCACACCAAGAUGAUCAUCUUAGAAAUGCACAAAA
Dasypus novemcinctus (nine-banded armadillo) is the source of this 199-nucleotide unclassified non-coding RNA. Lineage: Eukaryota; Metazoa; Chordata; Mammalia; Cingulata; Dasypodidae. The record is from Ensembl.